This 67-nucleotide transfer RNA is filed under the name Marmota monax (woodchuck). RNAcentral describes it as "tRNA.Gly". The record is from RNAcentral. Lineage: Eukaryota; Metazoa; Chordata; Mammalia; Rodentia; Sciuridae.
GGUUAUGGCUCAAUGGUAGAGCACUCGCCUACCACGUGCGAGGCACUGGGUUUGAUCCUCAGCACCA